GUGGGGAAUUUUUCGCAAUGGGCGAAAGCCUGACGAAGCAACGCCGCGUGGAGGAUGACGGCCCUAGCGGUCUUAAACUCCUGUCUAGCGGGACGAAUGUCUUUUUGCCAAAUAAGCAAAGAGAGUGACUGUACCGCUGGAGGAAGCUCCGGCCAACUCCGUGCCAGCAGCCGCGGUAAUACGGAGGGAGCAAGCGUUACUCGGAAUUAUUGGGCGUAAAGGGCGCGUAGGCGAUUCAGUAAGUCUUAUGUGAAAGCCCAGAGCUUAACUCUGGAAGUGCACGAGAUACUGCUGAAAUUGAGUUCCGGAGAGGAAGGCAGAAUUCCCGGUGUAGCGGUGAAAUGCGUAGAUAUCGGGAGGAAUACCAGUGGCGAAGGCGGCCUUCUGGACGGAUACUGACGCUGAGGCGCGAAAGCCAGGGGAGCAAACGGGAUUAGAUACCCGGGUAGUCC
Molecule: ribosomal RNA, 452 nt
Filed under: uncultured bacterium
Lineage: Bacteria
Description: bacterial SSU rRNA
Rfam family: Bacterial small subunit ribosomal RNA
Source: RNAcentral